Molecule: ribosomal RNA, 567 nt
Filed under: Penicillium griseofulvum
Lineage: Eukaryota; Fungi; Ascomycota; Eurotiomycetes; Eurotiales; Aspergillaceae
Description: eukaryotic LSU rRNA
Rfam family: Eukaryotic large subunit ribosomal RNA
Source: RNAcentral
UUGACCUCGGAUCAGGUAGGGAUACCCGCUGAACUUAAGCAUAUCAAUAAGCGGAGGAAAAGAAACCAACAGGGAUUGCCCCAGUAACGGCGAGUGAAGCGGCAAGAGCUCAAAUUUGAAAGCUGGCUCCUUCGGGGUCCGCAUUGUAAUUUGUAGAGGAUGCUUCGGGAGCGGUCCCCAUCUAAGUGCCCUGGAACGGGACGUCAUAGAGGGUGAGAAUCCCGUAUGGGAUGGGGUGUCCGCGCCCGUGUGAAGCUCCUUCGACGAGUCGAGUUGUUUGGGAAUGCAGCUCUAAAUGGGUGGUAAAUUUCAUCUAAAGCUAAAUAUUGGCCGGAGACCGAUAGCGCACAAGUAGAGUGAUCGAAAGAUGAAAAGCACUUUGAAAAGAGAGUUAAAAAGCACGUGAAAUUGUUGAAAGGGAAGCGCUUGCGACCAGACUCGCUCGCGGGGUUCAGCCGGCAUUCGUGCCGGUGUACUUCCCCGCGGGCGGGCCAGCGUCGGUUUGGGCGGUCGGUCAAAGGCCCUCGGAAGGUAACGCCCCUAGGGGCGUCUUAUAGCCGAGGGUGC